Molecule: long non-coding RNA, 577 nt
Organism: Amphimedon queenslandica
Lineage: Eukaryota; Metazoa; Porifera; Demospongiae; Haplosclerida; Niphatidae
Exons: 2
Source: RefSeq, a predicted model, not a curated record
CUUGAUUGAGUGUUGAAUAAAGUGGACCAGCUCCUUGUCGUUGUUGUUGUUGUUGUUUAUUCUUCUUCUAUUAUACAUUAUUGUUAUUUUCAGAGUAUUCCUGUCCUCCAUUAGGAUUAUAGGCUGGUACUGGUGGAGGAACUUCAUCAUCAUCACUAGCUCUAAGAACACUGUACUGACCUAGUGAAUAUUGUAUUAAUAAUAAUAUAAUAAUAUAAUAUAUAAUUACUGAGUCUAUACUUAAUACUGAUCACUAUAGAGCAUGUACUUAAACACAUUGCCUAUCAUGUCCUCUUGUCUAUCAUGUGCUAGUUGAUUGUAUCUUACAGUCAAACAUAUGAUACCCUGUGUAGGCUGUUGUCAGCUUAUUGUGUGUUACAUGUACAGUACAUAUGGUUGAUGUUAUGACAGGUAGAGGAAGGUAAAUGUUAUCUUAGCUAAUGUACACUAAAUGAUGACUGGAUGUAAGUAUGUGCUGGGUAUAUGGUGUAUGUGGAUUGAUUUAUUUAUUGUAUUAAAGUGAUGUGUGUACUAAUGUCAUUGUGUAGUGUAUGCAACACUUUUCUUAAGUAACCUG